UUGGGGAUUUAGCUCAGUGGUAGAGCACUUGCCUAGCAAGCACAAGGCCCUGGGUUCAGUCCUCAGCUCUGGAAA
RNAcentral lists this transfer RNA (75 nucleotides) under Mus musculus (house mouse). Its description in RNAcentral is "tRNA-Ala". The stretch from base 3 to 65 matches the Rfam family "tRNA". From Rfam's summary of the family: Transfer RNA (tRNA) molecules are approximately 80 nucleotides in length. Their secondary structure includes four short double-helical elements and three loops (D, anti-codon, and T loops). Further hydrogen bonds mediate the characteristic L-shaped molecular structure. tRNAs have two regions of fundamental functional importance: the anti-codon, which is responsible for specific mRNA codon recognition, and the 3' end, to which the tRNAs corresponding amino acid is attached (by aminoacyl-tRNA synthetases). tRNAs cope with the degeneracy of the genetic code in two manners: having more than one tRNA (with a specific anti-codon) for a particular amino acid; and 'wobble' base-pairing, i.e. permitting non-standard base-pairing at the 3rd anti-codon position. Lineage: Eukaryota; Metazoa; Chordata; Mammalia; Rodentia; Muridae. The record is from RNAcentral.